This 253-nucleotide ribosomal RNA is filed under the name uncultured bacterium. Its description in RNAcentral is "partial 16S ribosomal RNA". It matches the Rfam family "Bacterial small subunit ribosomal RNA", at positions 524 to 776 of the family's 1533-position model. The record is from RNAcentral.
UACGUAGGGGGCAAGCGUUGUCCGGAAUCAUUGGGCGUAAAGAGCGUGUAGGCGGUUCGGUAAGUCCGCUGUGAAAGUCGGGGGCUCAACCCUCGGAUGCCGGUGGAUACUGUCGGGCUAGAGUGCGGAAGAGGCGAGUGGAAUUCCUGGUGUAGCGGUGAAAUGCGCAGAUAUCAGGAGGAACACCAAUUGCGAAGGCAGCUCGCUGGGACGUGACUGACGCUGAGACGCGAAAGCGUGGGGAGCAAACAGG